This 468-nucleotide ribosomal RNA is filed under the name uncultured bacterium. RNAcentral describes it as "partial 16S ribosomal RNA". It matches the Rfam family "Bacterial small subunit ribosomal RNA", at positions 28 to 507 of the family's 1533-position model. The record is from RNAcentral.
GACGAACGCUGGCGGCGUGCUUAACACAUGCAAGUCGAACGGAAAGGCCCUGCUUUUGUGGGGUGCUCGAGUGGCGAACGGGUGAGUAACACGUGAGUAACCUGCCCUUGACUUUGGGAUAACUUCAGGAAACUGGGGCUAAUACCGGAUAGGAGCUCCUGCUGCAUGGUGGGGGUUGGAAAGUUUCGGCGGUUGGGGAUGGACUCGCGGCUUAUCAGCUUGUUGGUGGGGUAGUGGCUUACCAAGGCUUUGACGGGUAGCCGGCCUGAGAGGAUGACCGGCCAAAUUGGGACUGAGAUACGGCCCAGACUCCUACGGGAGGCAGCAGUGGGGAAUAUUGCACAAUGGGCGGAAGCCUGAUGCAGCAACGCCGCGUGCGGGAUGACGGCCUUCGGGUUGUAAACCGCUUUCGCCUGUGACGAAGCGUGAGUGACGGUAAUGGGUAAAGAAGCACCGGCUAACUACGUG